AAUGAACGCUGGCGGCAUGCCUUACACAUGCAAGUCGAACGGCAGCAUGACCUAUCUUGCUAGGUUGAUGGCGAGUGGCGAACGGGUGAGUAAUGCAUCGGAACGUGCCUUUUAGUGGGGGAUAACGUAGCGAAAGUUACGCUAAUACCGCAUAUUCUCUGAUGCGGAAAGCAGGGGACCUUCGGGCCUUGCGCUGGAAGAGCGGCCGAUGUCGGAUUAGCUAGUUGGUGAGGUAAAGGCUCACCAAGGCAACGAUCCGUAGCGGGUCUGAGAGGAUGAUCCGCCACACGGGGACUGAGACACGGCCCAGACUCCUGAGGGAGGCAGCAGUGGGGAAUGUUGGACAAUGGGCGCAAGCCUGAUCCAGCCAUGCCGCGUGAGUGAAGAAGGCCUUCGGGUUGUAAAGCUCUUUCGGCUGGGAAGAAAUCGCACCCUCUAAUACAGGGUGUGGAUGACGGUACCAGCAGAAGAAGCACCGGCUAACUACGUG
RNAcentral lists this ribosomal RNA (490 nucleotides) under uncultured bacterium. RNAcentral describes it as "partial 16S ribosomal RNA". It matches the Rfam family "Bacterial small subunit ribosomal RNA", at positions 29 to 507 of the family's 1533-position model. The record is from RNAcentral.